This 552-nucleotide ribosomal RNA is filed under the name uncultured bacterium. RNAcentral describes it as "bacterial SSU rRNA". It matches the Rfam family "Bacterial small subunit ribosomal RNA", at positions 359 to 917 of the family's 1533-position model. The record is from RNAcentral.
GGGNAUUGCGCAUGNCGUGAANCCUGNCGCAGCAACGCCGCGUGGACGAUGAAGUUCUUAGGAAUGUAAAGUCCUUUUGUAGAGGAAGAAAGUCUCGCUAUGUGAGAGUGACGGUACUCUGCGAAUAAGCCACGGCUAACUCUGUGCCAGCAGCCGCGGUGAUACAGGGGUGGCAAGCGUUGUCCGGAUUUACNUGGGUGUAAAGGGUGCGUAGGCGGACUGAUAAGUCGGGGGUUAAAGCUUCUCGCUUAACGAGAAAUCGGCUUCCGAUACUGUCAGUCUGGAGUUUUGGAGAGGAAGAUGGAAUUUCCGGUGUAGCGGUGGAAUGUGUAGAGAUCGGAAAGAACACCAGUUGCGAAGGCAGUCUUCUGGCCAAAAACUGACGCUCAUGCACGAAAGCGUGGGGAGCAAACAGGAUUAGAUACCCUGGUAGUCCACGCCCUAAACUAUGGAUACUAGAUGUUGGUCCUCGGAUCAGUGUCGCAGCUAACGCAUUAAGUAUCCCACCUGGGAAGUACGCUCGCAAGGGUGAAACUCAAAGAAAUUGACGGA